This 636-nucleotide ribosomal RNA is filed under the name Utricularia ochroleuca. RNAcentral's name for it is "eukaryotic LSU rRNA". Lineage: Eukaryota; Viridiplantae; Streptophyta; Magnoliopsida; Lamiales; Lentibulariaceae. The record is from RNAcentral.
CGGUAGGUGAACCUGCGGAAGGAUCAUUGACGAGCCCCAAAAUGACCGUGAACUUGUUGUUUUCUAGCGAGAAGCAGCGAUGCUUCCAAAACCCCCCAAGGCGCCGGUCUUGCGCCAAGGAAAGAAAUGAUGGGGAGCGGAAAUCCUCCGUUCUCUGGUGGUGCGCGAUGAGCGCAUGUAAAAUAAGAGUAAAACGACUCUCGGCAACGGAUAUCUUGGUUCUCGCAUCGAUGAAGAACGUAGCGAAAUGCGAUACUUGGUGUGAAUUGCAGAAUCCCGUGAACCAUCAAGUCUUUGAACSCAAGUUGCGCCCGAGGCGAAUCCGCCAAGGGCACGUCUGCCUGGGCGUCACGCAUCGCGUCGCUCUCCCCCUUCACUCAYUCGACCGGUGAUUGCGUGGGGGGUGCGGAAGUUGGCCUCCCGUGCGCUCGUUCGCUCGGCCGGCCUAAAUGUGCCGCGUUCCUUUGCAUCGGACGCCACGAGCAAUGGUGGUUGCCUCUGUCGACUUCGCAUGCUGUGGCGCCGAACGUCCUUGGSAACGGGUGAUGAUCCCCUUGUGGCGAGGCGAGGCACUAGUGCCUUGGCAAGCCUCUCGACCGCGACCCCAGGUCAGGCGGGACUACCCGCUGAGUUUAA